UCUCAAUGAUGCAAUUCCAAUAUAUCCUCCUGACCCUCCACUGUGGACUCAAUAGCAGGGAAACUAAGAGGGGGAAAAAUGAGUUAGGGA
Small nucleolar RNA from Erinaceus europaeus (western European hedgehog), 90 nucleotides. The record is from Ensembl. NCBI's taxonomy places the organism in Eukaryota, Metazoa, Chordata, Mammalia, Eulipotyphla, Erinaceidae.